UCGUAACAAGGUUUCCGUAGGUGAACCUGCGGAAGGAUCAUUAACGAGUUAGGGUCUCUCUGGCCCGACCUCCCAACCCUUUGUCUACUUGACCAUCGUUGCUUCGGCGAGCCCGUCCUCACGGACCGCCGGAGGGAUCUUUACUGGCCCUCUGGUCCGCGCUCGUCGGUAGCCCAACCUUUAAAAUCUUUAACUAAACGUGCCUUAAUCUAAGUACAAUUAUUAAAUAAAAGCAAAACUUUCAACAACGGAUCUCUUGGUUCUGGCAUCGAUGAAGAACGCAGCGAAAUGCGAUAAGUAAUGCGAAUUGCAGAAUUCCAGUGAGUCAUCGAAUCUUUGAACGCACAUUGCGCCCUUUGGUAUUCCGAAGGGCAUGCCUGUUCGAGCGUCAUUAUCACCCCUCAAGCCCUCGGCUUGGUGUUGGACGGUUUGGUGGAGGCCCCCUCGGGGGUUCCUGCCCCUCCCAAAGACAAUGACGGCGGCCUCGUUGGACCCCCGGUACACUGAGUUCUUCACGGGACACGUAUCGGACACCUGGGUUUACGGGACACGGUCUGCCUCCCCUCAGGGAGAAUCUUUCUAAGGUUGACCUCGGAUCAGGUAGGGAUACCCGCUGAACCUAAGCAUAUCA
RNAcentral lists this unclassified non-coding RNA (631 nucleotides) under Exophiala equina. RNAcentral describes it as "sequence contains 18S rRNA gene, ITS1, 5.8S rRNA gene, ITS2, 28S rRNA gene". The stretch from base 237 to 391 matches the Rfam family "5.8S ribosomal RNA". The record is from RNAcentral. Lineage: Eukaryota; Fungi; Ascomycota; Eurotiomycetes; Chaetothyriales; Herpotrichiellaceae.